Molecule: long non-coding RNA, 2642 nt
Filed under: Androctonus crassicauda
Lineage: Eukaryota; Metazoa; Arthropoda; Arachnida; Scorpiones; Buthidae
Source: RNAcentral
AUUUUAUUGUCAAUGUGAUGAUUUUAACAAAAUCAAAAGGACAAUUUUUUUAAUUUUCACCAAAAAUUUAACUACAGUACAUGUAGUAUUUAUGAUUAAAUUUGUUUGGAAAUAUUUGUAUCAUGAACUUGAACUAUGAUACCAAAAAUUGUUAGCAUAUUAGCAUAUUAUGGAUGCAAACUCCUCUAUACAGCUACAGUUAUGUCUUACUCAGUUAUCCAGAAAUCAUCUGUCACUACCACUCAACUGUACAAUGUCCAUGGGACCUACAAAUAUGGGCAGUACUGGAGAAAUUUGACAUAGUUUGACUAACAUCAUAGAAAUACCAAUCCCAUUAGCUCUUUGUACUAUCAAUCUUCUAUAUAUGACUUUUAUCUUAUUUGAACUCAGAAACAAUAGUUAAUAAUGUAUCAGAUGUUGCAUCACAAACAACUAAACUUCUCAAUUUACCAAAUGAUAUACAUUGAUGAUUCAAAGAUUGACACAACAUAUUGUUUUUAUUACAAAAACAAAAGUGAUUUAUUUGCUUACUGAUAAAUUGUUUUCACAAAACUACUGUAUAUAAGACUAUACUAUUUGGCAAUACUCUCCAGUGAAUUUGCACAAACUUCUCUCAAGACCAUUCAAAAACCCACUAGUUGUAGUCAUUACUAAUUCUCCAUAUAUUAGAAUAACUCCUUCAUUGUUCAAUUCCAAUCUACAGUUUCUCUGAAUGUCUGAACACUGGGAUUCUUGGAAUGAACUUGCAGAUAAAUAGCCAAGUCAACAGUUAACCAUCCAAUAACUCAGCUGAAAUACUUUAUAUGGAUCUAAAGCAAGUGAUCAGCAUUCAAACACAAGAUAUGCAACAUGAUUGGGAUAGAGAUCCAUAAGUUAUACUCAGUUAUGCCAAAACUCAUCUAGGUGAACUUAUACACCUUAACCAAUAUUUUGAUGUCAUAAAUAUAAGAAUGAGAAUUCGAUAUACUUGACAUGUCUAUAGAAACCUCUCCACCAGAGUAUUUCCAAGUUCCUCUCACUGUCCAGCCUAUGCUAUUGAUUUGUUUUCAAGAUAAUGUUGCUUGAUAGCAAAAUUUAAAACCUUAUAAUCCAUAAGAUUUUAAAUUUCAUUUCAUAUAAUUCUAUCAAUAUGCUUUUUAUUCCUACUCCAUGGAUUAUUCUUUUAUACAUCAACCUUAUUUUCCAAAAUUGAUUCUUAUCUGCGUUGAUAUUUACAACUAGCCCUGUGUGAGGUUCCAGACGACUGAAAAUAAGUAUGAAAAUAGUGAACAAUAUACAUUAGUUUAACAUCAGUAUUGUAUCUUUAGAUAUUUUAUGUAAAUCGGAUCCUUUAUAGAUUGUAUAAAUGACAAGAUUUAAAGUUGGCCAUAAGUUAUAUCACAUCCCUUUAUUUCAUAAAAACAAUCUAUUUUCAUUUUCUUUUUUAUAUUGAACAUUAUGUUGAGAAUAUUGGUAUGAGCACCAUCAUUAUCAUGACAAUAUGAUGCCAUGUUCAAUGUGAAGUUUUGGGAUGAUAGGCAUCAGUUCAAAUGAAAGCAUUGAUGUCUAUCAAUAGAGUGCAUAUUCUGUUAAACAGUGGUUGCUGAAGUGUGGGUACAUGACACCCCAUGCUGAUAUUAUGAUAUAUGUUAUGAAUCUGUUCCAAGAAUGGUUUGGCAUCCCAUCGUUCCCAAGAAUGACAUUAUUAUGAUGGAUAAAACGUUCAUUUCAAAUAGUGUGUGAGCAGUCAGGCACAAAGUACAAGACUGCAACUGAAAUGGAAACAUGCAUAAGCAUACAGGCAUCUAAAACAGUCGCUAUUGAAAUCAACAUGAAAACCCUCAGCCAAACUUGGGAUAUCCAAUACAACAAUGGAUUAUCGUAUUAAAAAUAAAACUGGUCUAAAACUGUUUCAGCCACUGUGUUAAUGAAAUGAACUCAGUGAUGUCAAUAUGGAUUGAUAAUACACAGUGAUUCACUGACAUCACUGAUUGUCAAUAUGUCAGCACAAUGCUUGCAUUGUUCUCGAAAGAUUCUGUUCAGUGUGUGAUGGCAAAAACAUUUGUUCAUAAAUGAGUGCACAAUUUACCAAAAUUCCAGAAAUCGUAAUGUGGGGGAUCUUUAGUCAAAGCACAUUUUUUGCAGGAAGUGGAAAAGAGAACCCAUCACACAUGUAUGAUCUAAACCAGCAUGAUUAUGAAGCACAUUAUUGGAUAUUAUUUUUUUGGUCCUGUUAAUGGACAGCCAUAUAAAGAUAUGCUUAGACAAUGGCUCUUGGCAGCUCAUUGCAGUUGGAAUAGCAGAUACUAUAAAUCCUGCAGCAAGACAACCUUUACACUUAUCCAUCAGUUUGAGAAUCUCUUAAUGAAUUGUUUUCCAACAAGUGGAUUGAAGGCAGCAUGGGUCCCUCAGAUGGCCAUCAAGGACUCUGACUUGUACAUUCUGGACAAUGCCUUGUGAGAUUUCAUUAAGGGUAGUCAAUCAACAACAGUACUGAACAAUGGCCAAAACUACAAGCUGUGACAAAAGCAUUCAGAAGUAUCAGAUUUUCUGUACUUAAACGUCUUGUUGAACAUGGUGUAUAUUCAGUUAUGAUGAUGCUUAUACUGAUAUUCUGAACAUACAAUGUUCAAUAUACGUUAUGAUGUAAAGCAAAUGACAAU